This 505-nucleotide ribosomal RNA is filed under the name uncultured bacterium. RNAcentral's name for it is "bacterial SSU rRNA". It matches the Rfam family "Bacterial small subunit ribosomal RNA", at positions 30 to 507 of the family's 1533-position model. The record is from RNAcentral.
AUUGAACGCUGGCGGCAUGCCUAACACAUGCAAGUCGAACGGAAACAGGACGCUGUGAUCCCUUCGGGGUGAACUUGUCGCUGUCGAGUGGCGGACGGGUGAGUAAUGCGUAGGAAUUUGCCUCAAAGUGGGGGAUAGCCCGAAGAAAUUCGGAUUAAUACCGCAUGUGCUCUACGGAGGAAAGCGGGCCUCUACUUGUAAGCUCGUGCUUUGAGAUAAGCCUACGUCGGAUUAGCUUGUUGGUAGGGUAACGGCCUACCAAGGCGACGAUCCGUAGCUGGUUUGAGAGGAUGAUCAGCCACACUGGGACUGAGACACGGCCCAGACUCCUACGGGAGGCAGCAGUGGGGAAUAUUGGACAAUGGGCGCAAGCCUGAUCCAGCAAUGCCGCGUGUGUGAAGAAGGCCUGCGGGUUGUAAAGCACUUUUAUCGGGAAAGAAAAUCUCGGGGUUAAUACCCCCGGGCCUUGACGGUACCCGAAGAAUAAGCACCGGCUAACUCCGUG